This 411-nucleotide ribosomal RNA is filed under the name uncultured Enterococcus sp. RNAcentral describes it as "bacterial SSU rRNA". It matches the Rfam family "Bacterial small subunit ribosomal RNA", at positions 18 to 407 of the family's 1533-position model. The record is from RNAcentral. Lineage: Bacteria; Bacillati; Bacillota; Bacilli; Lactobacillales; Enterococcaceae.
CCUGGCUCAGGACGAACGCUGGCGGCGAGCCUAAUACAUGCAAGUCGAACGCUUCUUUUUCCACCGGAGCUUGCCCCACCGGAAAAAGAGGAGUGGCGAACGGGUGAGUAACACGUGGGUAACCUGCCCAUCAGAAGGGGAUAACACUUGGAAACAGGUGCUAAUACCGGAUAACAAUCGAAACCGCAUGGUUUUGAUUUGAAAGGCGCUUUCGGGUGUCGCUGAUGGAUGGACCCGCGGUGCAUUAACUAGUUGGUGAGGUAACGGCUCACCAAGGCCACGAUGCAUAGCCGACCUGAGAGGGUGAUCGGCCACAUUGGGACUGAGACUCGGCCCAAACUCCUACGGGAGGCAGCAGUAGGGAAUCUUCGGCAAUGGACGAAACCAUGACCGAGCAACGCCGCGUGAGUG